Coffea arabica (coffee) is the source of this 4185-nucleotide non-coding RNA. NCBI's taxonomy places the organism in Eukaryota, Viridiplantae, Streptophyta, Magnoliopsida, Gentianales, Rubiaceae. The record is from RefSeq and is a predicted model, not a curated record.
CCCUUUUAUCUUUACACACUUUGUCCAGCUUCAAGCAGCCUUGAGUUUCUGUUGCCAUCUCCGCCCUCGAGUCUGCCUUUCGUCCUCCUUUGCUUCCGCUCCUCUCCAAAUUCCACCACCACCAGCCGCCGUGCAUAUGAUGUGAAAGCCUCCUCGUCCUCUUUGCCCUUUUAAUUUUCCUUCUCCUUCUCUUGAAUUACUGCCACCCAAUUGCUGUUUAGUGAAGGGUCUUCAAAGAGAGAAUUUUGGGUUAAAGGUUGAUUUGUUAUGGCUGUCUUUCUGUGCAAUUCCCAAGUCGACUUCAAUAGCUGAAUUGGAAAGGUGAGUUCUGAAAUUUCUCAUUCGACCACCACUCAGCAUCCACUUGGUAUUAUGCUAAAAAGAUCAAAACAUUUGCCUCAUCCUUGUCGAAAAACCCAAUCUUUACCCUUCAAGAAUGUAGCUUCUGCAAUUUUGAUUAGUGGGAUUUGCAGUAAUAGUACCAAUAAUAUUGUCAAAGCUGCAGCUUCAGAAUCUGAAAAUGAAUGGGAAAGUUUGCUCAAACCAUUUGACCUCAAACAGCUUAAGAAAGUACUCAAUAAAAUUACCCCUUAUCAGCUUAGCAAGUUUCUGGCUCUUCCUUUGGAUGUGCCUACAUCCUUGGAGCUAUUUCGGAAGGCUAGUGCCCAGAAAGGCUAUUGUCACACUUUUGAUGUGUACUAUACUUUGAUUGAUAAACUUGGUGCUGCUAAGGAGUUUAAGGCUUUAGAUAAACUGUUAUUGCAGAUGAAGGAGGAUGGGAUAGUUUUCAGGGAGUCCCUCUUCAUUAUGAUCAUGAAGCAUUACGGUAGAGCUGGUUUACCUGGUCAAGCCACUAGGUUGCUUUUGGAUAUGAGGAAGAUAUUUUCUUGCGAACCAACGUUUAAAUCGUAUAGUGCUGUGUUGGGAAUUCUAGUGGAUGGUAAUUGUCCUAAAGUUGCUGUUAAUGUCUUUUAUGAAAUGCUUAACAAAGGUGUCUCCCCUAGCGUUUCAUGUUUCGCCAGAGUAAUAAAAGCGCUAUGCAUGAUUAAUGAAGUGGAUUCUGGGCGUUCACUUCUGAGAGACAUGACGAAACAUGGGUGUGUGCCCAAUUCUAUAAUUUACCAGACAUUGAUUCAUGCACUUUCCAAGGCCAAUAGAGUAGAUGAUGCCUUGAGGCUUUUGGAGGAGAUGUUUCUUAUGGGUUGUAUACCAGAUACCAAUACUUUCAAUGAUGUUGUAACUGGCCUUUGCCAUUCCAGUCGAAUUCAUGAGGCUGCCAAAUUGGUUGAUCGAAUGCUUGCUCGGGGUUUUGCCCCUGAUGCUAUAACAUAUGGAGUUUUGAUGCAUGGUUUUUGCAGAACAGAUCAAAUAGAUGAAGCCAGGGCCCUGCUAUACAGAGUGCCCAAUCCCAAUAUUGUUCUGUUUAACAUUUUGAUCAAGGGAUUUGUGACCUCUGGUCGUUUUGAUGAAGCAACAGCUCUUAUGAGGGAGGGCCUGAUGAAUGUUGGCUUGCAGCCGGAUAUUUAUACAUAUAACAUCUUGAUUCAUGGCCUUUGCGAAAAGGGUUGUUUGGUGUCAGCUUGUGAAGUUCUUGAGGAGAUGUCAAUCAAGGGUUGUAAGCCCAAUGUGAUCACAUAUACUAUUCUGAUUGAAGGAUACUGUAAUGAAGGACGUUUAGAGGAGGCUAAUGAACUUUUGAUUGAGAUGUCAUCCCAAGGUCUUAGUUUAAAUGUGGUCGGAUAUAACUGUCUUGUCUCUGCUUUGUGCAAGGAUGGAAAGAUCCAGGAGGCAUUAGAAACUUUUGGUGAUAUGUCAAGAAAUGGAUGUAAACCAGAUAUAUUUACAUUCAACUCUUUAAUAUUUGGGUUUUGCGUGGUUGAUAAGAUGGAAGAGGCACUUAGCAUGUAUCGUGAUAUGUUGCUUGAGGGGGUUAUUGCCAAUACUGUUACCUACAACACAUUGAUACAUGCUUUCCUGAAAAAAGGUGCAAUCCACGAGGCCCUUAAGCUUGUAGAUGAUAUGUUGUUUAGAGGAUGUGCCCCUGAUGAGUACACAUAUAGUAGCCUUCUACAUGCACUGUGCAAAGAUGGUGCUGUUGAGAAAGCAUUGGGACUUUUUGAGGAAAUUUUGAGAAAGGGAGUCUACCCUAAUAACAUAUCCUGCAACAUUUUAAUCAAUGGCUUGUGCAAAAUUGGCAAGGGUUCGAAACCUGCACUUCUUCAAAUUAUAACUAUAUAAAAAACAUCAUGGUUUGCCACCAUAACAUGGACUGAUUAUACGUGAGUGGCCGGUGCAAGAAGGUCUGUUGGAACUGCUGACUGAUUGCUGCUUUUGAGAGAGCUUGCUUACCAGAUCAGUUAGGCCAAAGAGUUUUGUGCGAACUACAGAUUCUGGAGAUUUACCCGGAUACUUAAACUCUGUGGGCUGGUCUCCUUUGAUCAAUACUAGAUCAAUGCUAGAUGGUUGAAAGCAGUUAAGAGUUAUCCAUGUUUCCAGCAAUACUUGGUCUUCCUACAACUGAUCUGAAAUUAAACUGAAGAAUGGCAAACCAAACUUAUAACCGGGAUUCAGGGAAUCAGAUUUGCGUGCGUGUUGACUGAACUAUAAUUACGUUAAGGUGCAAGAAAAGCAGCUAGACUUAUUUCUCUGAACGAGAAGACUCAGUUAGAGACAUGAUGAAGAAUCCACUGUGUUUGGUCCAGUUCCACAGUUUCCACUUUCUCCCCCACUCUGUCUGUCAUCAACUAUUAUCCAUAAAUCACUCACGAACAAACUGUUUAAAGUUCAUCGCCUAAUUCUCCACAAAGCUUUCAGAUCACAAAUCCUCCUCUUCUUCCAUUCGUAACUGCUUGAUGUAUCAGCUGUGCUAUUGGUUGUCAUCAACUAUCGUGCCAAUUGGUUGAAUUUGAAGGCCAAAGGUUGUCUAUUGAUUAAGUAUGGGAGAGCUUUGGUUAUGUUAAACUGGAGCAUUGAAGCUUAAUAUGGAAACAGAUGAGCACCGGAAAAAUGUACCUUGGGAAACUUGGCAGGUGAAGGAAGUUCAUCAUCAUAUAAUUCAGAAGAGAAAAACUGUCUCUUCAAUGGAUACUCUACUUGGCAACAAACCUCUCACGGAGAAAUAUCUGACAGUCAAACUAAUGAGUGCCAAACAUCAUCCAAUCAGAAUCAAGCUAAUUGGGAGUGAAUCCCUGAGGAAUCAUCUUCAAACUGGAUACCUGCAGAAUUUACUUCAAAUUGGAUACCCAAUGAAAUAAUCUCAAAUCAAUUCCAAGCAAUUGAUGAGACUUCAACAAUAAACUAGAUUCAGGAAAUUGAAGAAAAAGAAAAUCCAUUUCUAAUUCCUAGAGAUCCAACUCAACCUUUCCAGAUCAAACUCAAGGAGGAUGCAUUCUCACAUCUCUGGAUGGAAUAUCAUUAUCUCGAAAAUGAGAGAAAAGAAUCUAGAAUCAGAAACUUUGAUAUCAUAUACUUCAACAGGGAUACUGGUGAAAGAAUCCCUUGCUACAACAUCCACAGGUAUAAUCACAUCGAAUUAGUAAACUCAAACUAUUCAAUACAAACAUUAAAAGAACAAUGCUUCAUAUAAAGAAGAAACAUUCAAAGGAUGAUUCUCAACAAAUAUCUACUUGAAAAACAAGGGAUCAAUGCACGAUAUUACAAACAAUGGAUCAAAGAAGCAUCAGAAGAAUUAUCAGUAAUGAUUUGCUGAACAAAUGUUUCCAGAAAUAUUCAAGUUGGCUCAAUCGAAACAAAAUUCAGAAAAAAUCGUUUUACUGUAGCACCGGAAGUACUGUAGCUGUCCGGUAGGUUAUUGUGCAUGCACGGCAACAAAAAGACAAACAAUGCAUUGUAGCGCGUACUGUAGCGGCACUAUAGCAAUAGUAAAAUCACUGUAGCGGGUACUUAAACCAGGAAAGUAAAGAAAAUUAAAGAAAUAAAAAGCAUAAGAGUAAGGAAAUGAGUCGCAGUCAGACUACCACUAGUUAGUAUAGGCGGUUGAACCAGCCAUGUAUAGACAAAGUAAAUAAUAGAAUAUAAAAGUUAAUAAGUUAGUUCAGGUGGUAUAACCGACCAUUGAUUGUUAGUAUAAUUAAAACAAAUAAAAACAAGUAAAUGAAUAUGAAUGUAGGUGGCUCAGCCAACCAUUUGAUUGAAUGAUAUUGAAUAUAAGAAUACAAAAGAAAA